AUUUUCAGAAAGGAUUGGACCUUGGAUGAGAUAUAAUAUAUGUUGAUAAUAUUUGCAGCUUUUCUAUUCCAGUUUCUAAAAGAGUGAAAUGUUACACGAAUACAAAGCCUUGCCUAUUAGAAAGCCCACUGGACUAUAGUGUAAACCCAUAAGGAUACUUCACAUUUAAUCAAAGCAACGACCAAAACAGCUCCGAACAACUUUGCGAUCAUAAUCAUCUCAGAGAGCUCAAACCAAGAAAAAAACGUCGCGAAGAAGAUGAUGCACAUGACCUUCUACUGGGGCAUCAAAGCCACAAUCCUCUUCGAUUUCUGGAAAACCGAUUCAUGGCUGAGUUACAUCCUCACUUUAGUCGCCUGCUUCGCCUUCGCCGCCUUCUACCAGUACCUCGAGAAACGCCGUGUCCAAUUCAAAUCCCUUUCAUCCACUCGCCAUCCUAAUCCCCCGCCUCGCGCCGGCGUUUCCGCACCUCUUAUCCCCAAAUCGGGCACCAGAUCCGCCGCCAAAGCUGCGUCGGUGCUGCUUUUCGGCGUCAACGCGGCGAUCGGUUACCUGCUGAUGCUGGCGGUUAUGUCGUUCAACGGAGGCGUUUUCAUCGCGAUCGUCGUCGGGUUAACAGUCGGUUACCUCGUUUUCAGAUCUGACGACGACGGUGCUGACGUGGCGGCGGAGAAUCCAUGCGCGUGUGCUUGAUUUCGGAUGAUUCGGUUUAUGUUUUUUGUGUUUGAUCUACGCCACGUGUUUUGUUUUUUAUUUCUGUAUAUUUUUUUUCUUUUCUUGUUGGCUCCUUCACCAAACUGAUUAUCGGCGACGAUCUGAAUGCGUUUCUGGGUUUAAUGAUGUGUAUGAACUUAAUGGGACACACUCAUUUUGAUGUUUCAGAGUUCCAACAAGGAGAAGACACCAGAACUUCACAUGUCGAUCUCACGUAUUCUACAGAUAUCCCUUCAAAUAUCGCCAAUAUGAUGGGUGUUCGAACUAGAAUUCGUGAUAGACAAAUGCAUCAACAGUUCAAAGUUGAUUUGGUUGAACAUUUAUGGAGUAAUUUUGGAUGUGAUGAAGACAACAACUGAAUUCAGAAUGUUUCUUUCAAAUUAUUCUCGAUUAUUCUACUAAUCUUUAUUUUUAUGUUUUUUAUAUCAAUGUUUUAAAUGUUAUUUUUUAAUAUGUUUUAUUUAAUAAAUAAAUUUUAUCUAAUUUUUUUUUUUUAAGAAACUCUCAUUGGACCGCUCAAAAUGGAAGUUUCUUAAGUUUUUAAUCCCACUUAAGUACAUUUAAAGUAUUAAAUAAUAAACUCACUUAAGGAUCAUGGAUAAUUAUGCUCUAAAGAAUACACUUCAAUAAUAUAGGUCGUUUUUAUAUCAAUUUUUUAAAAACAUCCUAGAUAACAAAUCUGGACUAUAAAACAAUACUAUCUAGUAGCUAGGCAUCUACUAAUACAUAUAGUUCUCAACAGGCAACUUUAAUUCAUCAAUGUUGACGGAUUAUAUACGCUACAGUUAUCAUUGAAUCAUAUAUAUAUAUAUAUAUGCAAUCGCCACAGGAUCACUAGAGACAGUUGAAAAAAUAAGAGAAAUAAUCAAUAUAGGCCACAUAUUAUUUCUCAAAUCACUAACACAAACUCAUAGAUAUAUUAUGCUAGCUGAUGCAUAUGUCUCAGUUCUAACAUCUUCAGGGUUCCAUUUUCUGUGCCUUUAUACUUUUAUAGCCAUAGCAGUGUAUGUAUGACAUCCACUUAGCCCUAAUUAGAACAACUAAAAUCUAAUAUUUUAGAUUCAGUUAAAGUAGUAUGUAUAUGCAUCUGUAUAAACAAAAAUAUGAAAUGUGUAUGUCAAAUGUGAAUGCAUGGCACAUGCGGAUAUGUCCAGCUUUGGUGUGAUGAAGAGAUCCAAGUCUUAACAUCACUUUCCAAUUGGUGUGGCGCAAGGGUCAUUCCUCUUCACUUUGUUGCCCACUUGCCUAAGACACUCUAACUCGACAUUUUGUCAUCUAUUUGUUUCUUAAUUGUUUCAAAUUGAAAGACAACUCCAUGUUCUUUUUGUUUAUAUUCUUAAUUUUUCGGCCACUUUAUGUUGUUUUGAGUUAAAAGUAUCUCGAGCCCCUUUCACCAAUAUCUUUGAGUGUACCCACCAAGAUUUGUAUCUUUAUCAUUCCAUUAUGAUAACUGUACACCUCUUAACUGAUAACUUUAAAAGUAUGUGAAGCCCAAGCUAGGGUUAAAUUAAGUUUUGCUAUAAUAAGAAACAGUCCUAGGCAAAAACAAAUGAAAUGGUAGAAGAAAAAUAGAUACAAUACUAGUGAGAAGAAAGAUUCAGGGUCGACCAACCCUGGUUAACUAGGAUAGAUUUAAAAAAACGUGCAAUUAGAAUUUGCCUGAUUUGAAGUCUAAUUAUCUAUGAUAUUCACACCUAAAGUUUUCCACUAUCCAUAAAAAACAAAAUUAGAAUAUCUAUAAAUGGACAUAAAGAAUGUCAUCCAAGUUCAUAUCCUAACCUUCUGAAUAAUAUUCAGAAUUUUCAGAAAGGAUUGGACCUUGGAUGAGAUAUAAUAUAUGUUGAUAAUAUUUGCAGCUUUUCUAUUCCAGUUUCUAAAAGAGUGAAAUGUUACACGAAUACAAAGCCUUGCCUAUUAGAAAGCCCACUGGACUAUAGUGUAAACCCAUAAGGAUACUUCACAUUUAAUCAAAGCAACGACCAAAACAGCUCCGAACAACUUUGCGAUCAUAAUCAUCUCAGAGAGCUCAAACCAAGAAAAAAACGUCGCGAAGAAGAUGAUGCACAUGACCUUCUACUGGGGCAUCAAAGCCACAAUCCUCUUCGAUUUCUGGAAAACCGAUUCAUGGCUGAGUUACAUCCUCACUUUAGUCGCCUGCUUCGCCUUCGCCGCCUUCUACCAGUACCUCGAGAAACGCCGUGUCCAAUUCAAAUCCCUUUCAUCCACUCGCCAUCCUAAUCCCCCGCCUCGCGCCGGCGUUUCCGCACCUCUUAUCCCCAAAUCGGGCACCAGAUCCGCCGCCAAAGCUGCGUCGGUGCUGCUUUUCGGCGUCAACGCGGCGAUCGGUUAC
RNAcentral lists this long non-coding RNA (3064 nucleotides) under Brassica napus (rape). RNAcentral describes it as "long non-coding RNA (BNAP_LNC020907)". The record is from RNAcentral. Lineage: Eukaryota; Viridiplantae; Streptophyta; Magnoliopsida; Brassicales; Brassicaceae.